GUCAACGGCCAUACCACGUAGAAAAAACCCGGUCUCUUCAACUCCUGGCCGUUAAGCUGCGUCGGGUCCCGUUGGUACUUAGAAGGGUGACCACUUGGGAAUACGGGAUGCUGUUGGCA
RNAcentral lists this ribosomal RNA (119 nucleotides) under Daphnia magna. The record is from RNAcentral. Lineage: Eukaryota; Metazoa; Arthropoda; Branchiopoda; Diplostraca; Daphniidae.